GCUAUUUGGCAGUUCUCCUGUUAUGUAAAGUUGAAGAAAGUGAAUCUUCCGUUUCAUUUUAUUACAGUUUGCUGCAAGCCAGACGGGAACGGAGAGGAACGCUUUCUGCUUGCCAAUGAGUAAUGCUGUGUUCAAAAUAAACAACCGGAGAGGGGAUUGUUGGAAGAAAGAAACCCUAAACAUGCAAAGCAACAUGGAUACACAGGAAAUGCAACAGCAAUGAACUGGUUUCCCCGGCAACUGCAUCCAGCCUAAAAGUUCUGUACAUACCACGGUGAGCCCUGUAUCUUAGGAGUAUUUUGACCACGAACUCUGAACCUGCUUCCAACCCUGGAACUCGUAAGCAGUACACAGAUGUAUAGCUGAGGUUUCUGGGCGAGGGUCAUCUCUGCGUUUCAUCAUCUUCUGUGUCCCACCACCACCUCCAAAUUGCCCCCUUCAUUUCCACCGGGAGGAGGUUGGGCUUCUUUGCAGUGGCAUC
RNAcentral lists this long non-coding RNA (481 nucleotides) under Pogona vitticeps (central bearded dragon). RNAcentral's name for it is "lncRNA (ENSPVIG00000001475.1)". Lineage: Eukaryota; Metazoa; Chordata; Lepidosauria; Squamata; Agamidae. The record is from RNAcentral.